This 330-nucleotide ribosomal RNA is filed under the name uncultured eukaryote. RNAcentral's name for it is "partial 18S ribosomal RNA". It matches the Rfam family "Eukaryotic small subunit ribosomal RNA", at positions 1470 to 1796 of the family's 1831-position model. The record is from RNAcentral.
CCCUUAGAUGUUCGGGGCCGCACGCGCGCUACACUGAAGGAAUCAGCACGUCUUUCUCCUUGUCCGAAAGGACUGGGUAACCCGCCGAACCUCCUUCGUGCUAGGGAUUGGGGCUUGUAAUUCUUCCCCAUGAACGAGGAAUUCCCAGUAAGCGCGAGUCAUAAGCUCGCGUUGAUUACGUCCCUGCCCUUUGUACACACCGCCCGUCGCUACUACCGAUUGGAUGGUUUAGUGAGAUCCUCGGAUUGGUCCCGGCGCGGCCUCUGGUCGUGCCGGAGUGCCGAAAAGAAUGUCGAACUUGAUCAUCUAGAGGAAGUAAAAGUCGUAACA